AUUGAACGCUGGCGGCAUGCCUUACACAUGCAAGUCGAACGGGGGUAGCAAUACCCUAGUGGCGAACGGGUGAGUAAAGCAUCGGAACGUACCCAGUCGUGGGGGAUAACGUAGCGAAAGUUACGCUAAUACCGCAUACGUCCUGAGGGAGAAAGCGGGGGACCGUAAGGCCUCGCGCGAUUGGAGCGGCCGAUGUCGGAUUAGCUAGUUGGUGGGGUAAAAGCCUACCAAGGCGACGAUCCGUAGCUGGUCUGAGAGGAUGAUCAGCCACACUGGGACUGAGACACGGCCCAUACUCCUACGGGAGGCAGCAGUGGGGAAUUUUUGACAAUGGGGGAAACCCUGAUCCAACCAUGCGGCGUGAGUGAAGAAGGCCUUCGGGUUGUAAAGCUCUUUCGGACGGAAAGAAAUCGCACCGAUGAAUAAUCUGUGUGGAUGACGGUACCGUAAGAAGAAGCACCGGCUAACUACGUGCCAGCCGCCGCCGCAG
Molecule: ribosomal RNA, 490 nt
Filed under: uncultured bacterium
Lineage: Bacteria
Description: partial 16S ribosomal RNA
Rfam family: Bacterial small subunit ribosomal RNA
Source: RNAcentral